UAGAUACCCUGGUAGUCUACACUGUAAAUUCUGAGUGCUGUAAUUUAAUUGAUUUUAGAUUUUUUAAGCUAACGCAAUAAGCACUCCGCCUGAGGAGUACGGCCGCAAGGUUGGAACUCAAAGGAAUUGACGGGGGCCUACAACGAGUGGUGGAGCAUGUGGUUUAAUGCGAUAAUCCGCGCAAAACCUUACCAGCCUUUGUAAAUAUAAUAAUUCGUACUGCUAAAUAAAAAAUUACACGCAGAAUGAAAUAUAAUACAGGUGUUGCACGACUGUCGUCAGCUCGUGUCGUAAGAUGUUUGGUUCAUUCCUUUAACGAGCGCAACUCUUAUUUUUAAGUAAUUUCAUACUUUUACGAGGAAUUUACCGUUAAUUCUUCAAUUAAGCUAUAAAUAAUACUCAGUCAAUGAUAAGUUGAAGGAAGGUAAGAAUUAAGUCAAGUCACUGUGGCCCUUAUAGGCUGGGCUACACACGUGCUACAAUAAAAAUUACAGAAACAUACCAAAAUCAUAACAGAUUUUUGUUAGUUAAAGAUUUUUUUUACGGAUUGUAAGCUGCAACUCGUUUACAUGAAGUUGGAAUCACUAGUAAUCGCAAAUCAGAAUGUUGCGGUGAAUACGUACCUUGGCCUUGUACACACCGCCCGUCACAUGCAGAGAACCAGUUUCACUUGAAAACUUAACGAUUAUUAGAAAAUAUAAUUUUCUUUGCAUACGUUAGGUUCAUUGCGAAAUUGAUGAUUUGGAUGAAGUCGUAACAAGGUAGCCGUA
Molecule: ribosomal RNA, 770 nt
Filed under: uncultured bacterium
Lineage: Bacteria
Description: bacterial SSU rRNA
Rfam family: Bacterial small subunit ribosomal RNA
Source: RNAcentral